UUUNCGGCAAUGGGGGGAACCCUGACCGAGCNACGCCGCGUGAACGAAGAAGUUAUUCGUAAUGUAAAGUUCUUUUACCAGGGAAGAAAGAGGAAUUUGACGGUACCUGAGGAAUAAGCCCCGGCUAACUACGUGCCAGCAGCCGCGGUAAUACGUAGGGAGCGAGCGUUAUCCGGAAUUAUUGGGCGUAAAGGGUGCGUAGAUGGCAUAGUAAGUCUUUUGUAAAAAUGCUGGGCUCAACCCAGUAGGGCAAAAGAUACUGCAAAGCUAGAGUAUGACGGAGGCAAGUGGAACUACAUGUGUAGCGGUAAGAUGCGUAAAUAUAUGUAAGAACACCAGUGGCGAAGGCGGCUUGCUGGGUCGAUACUGACAUUGAGGCACGAAAGCGUGGGGAGCAAACAGGA
RNAcentral lists this ribosomal RNA (404 nucleotides) under uncultured bacterium. RNAcentral's name for it is "bacterial SSU rRNA". It matches the Rfam family "Bacterial small subunit ribosomal RNA", at positions 362 to 777 of the family's 1533-position model. The record is from RNAcentral.